GGCCUAACACAUGCAAGUCGAGCGGGGAGCAAUCCCAGCGGCGGACGGGUGAGUAACGCGUAGGUGAUGUGCCUCCAGGUGGGGAACAACCUCGGGAAACCGGGGCUAAUUCCGCAUACAGCCCGCAAGGGUGAAAGCCGUAAGGCGCCAGGAGAGCAGCCUGCGUCCCAUUAAUUAUUCCUAGUUGGUGAGGCAACGGCUCACCAAGGGUACGAUGGGUAGCUGGUCUGAGAGGAUGAUCAGCCACACUGGAACUGAGACACGGUCCAGACUCCUACGGGAGGCAGCAGUGGGGAAUAUUGCGCCAUGGGCGAAAGCCUGACGCAGCCACGCCGCGUGAGUGNUCUUUACCUUCGGGUUGUAAAGCUC
RNAcentral lists this ribosomal RNA (369 nucleotides) under uncultured organism. RNAcentral's name for it is "bacterial SSU rRNA". It matches the Rfam family "Bacterial small subunit ribosomal RNA", at positions 45 to 433 of the family's 1533-position model. The record is from RNAcentral.